This 476-nucleotide ribosomal RNA is filed under the name uncultured anaerobic ammonium-oxidizing bacterium. RNAcentral's name for it is "bacterial SSU rRNA". It matches the Rfam family "Bacterial small subunit ribosomal RNA", at positions 365 to 832 of the family's 1533-position model. The record is from RNAcentral.
UUCGCAAUGCCCGAAAGGGUGACGAAGCGACGCCGCGUGUGGGAAGAAGGCCUUCGGGUUGUAAACCACUGUCGGGAGUUAAGAAAUGCAAGGAUAUUAAUAGUGUCUUUGUUUGACUAAGGCUGGAGAGGAAGCGCCGGCUAACUUCGUGCCAGCAGCUGCGGUAAUACAAAGAGCGCGAGCGUUGUUCGGAAUCACUGGGCUUAAAGGGCACGUAGGCGGGGGGAUAAAUCAAGGGUGAAAUCCCAAUUCUCAAUGUUGGAACUGCCCUUGAUAAUGUCCUUCUUGAGUGCAGGAGGGGAGAGCGGAACUCUUGGUGGAGCGGUGAAAUGCGUAGAUAUCAAGGGGAACGCCGGCGGCGCAAGCGGCUCUCUGGACUGCUACUGACGCUGAGGUGCGAGAGCUAGGGGAGCAAAAAGGAUUAGAUACCCUUGUAGUCCUAGCUGUAAACGAUGGGCACUAAGUAGAGGGGUUUU